RNAcentral lists this ribosomal RNA (280 nucleotides) under Escherichia coli. Its description in RNAcentral is "partial 23S ribosomal RNA". It matches the Rfam family "Bacterial large subunit ribosomal RNA", at positions 2663 to 2925 of the family's 2925-position model. The record is from RNAcentral. Lineage: Bacteria; Pseudomonadati; Pseudomonadota; Gammaproteobacteria; Enterobacterales; Enterobacteriaceae.
UGAGGGGGGCUGCUCCUAGUACGAGAGGACCGGAGUGGACGCAUCACUGGUGUUCGGGUUGUCAUGCCAAUGGCACUGCCCGGUAGCUAAAUGCGGAAGAGAUAAGUGCUGAAAGCAUCUAAGCACGAAACUUGCCCCGAGAUGAGUUCUCCCUGACUCCUUGAGAGUCCUGAAGGAACGUUGAAGACGACGACGUUGAUAGGCCGGGUGUGUAAGCGCAGCGAUGCGUUGAGCUAACAGGUACUAAUGAACCGUGAGGCUUAACCUUACAACGCCGAAG